This 604-nucleotide small RNA is filed under the name Histoplasma ohiense. Its description in RNAcentral is "hypothetical lncRNA". Lineage: Eukaryota; Fungi; Ascomycota; Eurotiomycetes; Onygenales; Ajellomycetaceae. The record is from RNAcentral.
CGCAAAGGGUGUUACUUUCCUCCCAGCAGUGGUCGAAUCAGACAAGCUGAAGAGAAAGAAGUCAAAACCUCAACGCAUUUUCGUUAUAUCUAUUUUAAAUAUCAACCACUUUUAUUAGCCCCCUUCUUUUCCCGUCAACCUUUUUGGCCAAACAACGAGCAGCAACAGCCGCGAAGUGUGAUGGGGGCGUUUAUAUGAGAUGGAGGCGAGAGAGACUCCACCAUUUUCACCAUGACAUCAAGAUACCGCAGAUUUCUGCCAAAAAUGCCUGGUUAUAGGGUACGCGGCGGAUUUCAUUUGAGAACGGUUUUUACCGUUCCUCUUUCCCCCCUGUCCUUUGUUUAUUUUUGGAACAUGCAGGAAAAGCCACCAUGACCAACCACUAUAAGCCGGAACUUUACGAAGUAGUUUUAACUGGACCUAUUAUGUUCCCGCCCGAGACAGCUUUGAAACGGCUGGAGGGCGCGUCAAGUUAGCUCAACUGGCUGACUGGCUGGCAGUUUCGAAACGUCUGGAGGCUAGGCUAGCCAAGCUUCCCAGCUUCUAUGUGAUCGGCGCAAGGAGGAAAAAAAAAAAAAAAAAAAAAAGAAACGAAGAGAGAAGG